GAUGAACGCUGGCGGCGUGCUUAACACAUGCAAGUCGAACGAAGCACUUUAUUUGAUUUCCUUCGGGACUGAUUAUUUUGUGACUGAGUGGCGGACGGGUGAGUAACGCGUGGGUAACCUGCCUUGUACAGGGGGAUAACAGUUGGAAACGGCUGCUAAUACCGCAUAAGCGCACAGCAUCGCAUGAUGCAGUGUGAAAAACUCCGGUGGUAUAAGAUGGACCCGCGUUGGAUUAGCUAGUUGGUGAGGUAACGGCCCACCAAGGCGACGAUCCAUAGCCGACCUGAGAGGGUGACCGGCCACAUUGGGACUGAGACACGGCCCAAACUCCUACGGGAGGCAGCAGUGGGGAAUAUUGCACAAUGGGCGAAAGCCUGAUGCAGCGACGCCGCGUGAGCGAAGAAGUAUUUCGGUAUGUAAGGCUCUAUCAGCAGGGAAGAUAAUGACGGUACCUGACUAAGAAGCACCGGCUAAAUACGUG
RNAcentral lists this ribosomal RNA (481 nucleotides) under uncultured bacterium. RNAcentral's name for it is "partial 16S ribosomal RNA". It matches the Rfam family "Bacterial small subunit ribosomal RNA", at positions 28 to 507 of the family's 1533-position model. The record is from RNAcentral.